UGUCUAGAGGCUGUGAACCUUGUCAGCUGCUGUGAUUCAUCGACCUCUGGCUGCGGAGCCUUCAGCGUGAAAAUUCAACGCCGGCAAAUCGCGCGGAGAUUGCCUACAAAGACGCAAUAAUCUUGCACAAUGGGGGCGUGUAGGCCGUUGAGUGAAAAUGCGCUGCUUUGCACCUGAACAUGGCCCUUUUCUUUUCCUCCAAGGAACUGCUCAUAUCAGUGUACGCUUGGAUACCUCACCACUCAGAACCUACCUCAAGUCAGCGGACAAUGUGUCAUCACUGAAAGCAAGCUCAUGAGCCAAAAUCCUCGCAAGAAAACUGGUCUAAACAGAGACAAUUGAUUUUCAAGCUACCCACAUCCAGUCGUAAGAAGCUCUACAGUUGCCAUACUGACAAUCUCAUGCACCAUCAAUAUGCCAGCCGGACAAAUGGAAGCCUUGUACUGAAAAACAG
Molecule: long non-coding RNA, 454 nt
Organism: Rhipicephalus microplus (southern cattle tick)
Lineage: Eukaryota; Metazoa; Arthropoda; Arachnida; Ixodida; Ixodidae
Source: RefSeq, a predicted model, not a curated record